UGAGAGUUUGAUCCUGGCUCAGGAUUAACGCUUGCGAUGUGCCUAAGGUAUGCAAGUCGAACGAUUCCUGUGUCCUCGGAUACAGGGAGUGGCAAACGGCUGAGUAACGCGUAGGAACCUACCCCAAACUCGAGUAUAGCCCCGCGAAAGCGGGGGUAAUCCUCGAUAGUCCGUGAAGCAUCUUGCUUUACGGUAAAGCUUUUGCGGUUUGGGAUGGGCCUGCGUCCUAUCAGGUAGUUGGUGAGGUAAAUGCUCACCAAGCCUAUGACGGGUAGCUGGUCUGAGAGGAUGAUCAGCCAGACUGGGACUGCGACACGGCCCAGACUCCUACGGGAGGCAGCAGUGGGGAAUUUUCCGCAAUGGGGGCAACCCUGACGGAGCAACGCCGCGUGGGGGAGGAAUGUCUGUGGAUUGUAAACCCCUUUUCUCAGGGAAGAAGAUCUGACGGUACCUGAGGAAUCAGCAUCGGCUAACUCCGUGCCAGCAGCCGCGGUAAGACGGAGGAUGCAAGCGUUAUCCGGAAUUAUUGGGCGUAAAGCGUCCGUAGGCGGUUUCUCAAGUCUGCCGUUAAAGACUGCAGCUUAACUGUGGGCAAGCGGUGGAAACUGAGGAACUGGAGUGCGGUAGGGGUAGAGGGAAUUCCCAGUGUAGCGGUGAAAUGCGUAGAUAUUGGGAAGAACACCAGUGGCGAAGGCGCUCUACUGGGCCGUAACCGACGCUGAGGGACGAAAGCUAGGGGAGCGAAAGGGAUUAGAUACCCCUGUAGUCCUAGCUGUAAACGAUGGAUACUAGGUGUUGGACGUAUCGACCCG
RNAcentral lists this ribosomal RNA (812 nucleotides) under uncultured bacterium. RNAcentral describes it as "bacterial SSU rRNA". It matches the Rfam family "Bacterial small subunit ribosomal RNA", at positions 1 to 838 of the family's 1533-position model. The record is from RNAcentral.